Molecule: ribosomal RNA, 454 nt
Filed under: uncultured bacterium
Lineage: Bacteria
Description: bacterial SSU rRNA
Rfam family: Bacterial small subunit ribosomal RNA
Source: RNAcentral
UACGGAAGGCAGCAGUGGGGAAUAUUGCACAAUGGGCGCAAGCCUGAUGCAGCCAUGCCGCGUGUAUGAAGAAGGCCUUCGGGUUGUAAAGUACUUUCAGUCGUGAGGAAGGUGUUAAGGUUAAUAACCUUAGCAAUUGACGUUAGCGACAGAAGAAGCACCGGCUAACUCCGUGCCAGCAGCCGCGGUAAUACGGAGGGUGCGAGCGUUAAUCGGAAUUACUGGGCGUAAAGGGCACGCAGGCGGUUAAUUAAGUUGGAUGUGAAAUCCCCGGGCUUAACCUGGGAAUGGCAUUCAAGACUGGUUAGCUAGAGUCUUGUAGAGGGGGUAGAAUUCCAUGUGUAGCGGUGAAAUGCGUAGAGAUGUGGAGGAAUAUCGGUGGCGAAGGCGGCCCCUGGGACAAAGACUGACGCUCAUGUGCGAAAGCGUGGGGAGCAAAUAGGGAUUAGAUACC